This 893-nucleotide long non-coding RNA is filed under the name Danio rerio (zebrafish). RNAcentral describes it as "si:ch73-286n19.3 (ENSDARG00000103681.2)". Lineage: Eukaryota; Metazoa; Chordata; Actinopteri; Cypriniformes; Danionidae. The record is from RNAcentral.
GCAUAAAGCACGGCCAAAUAUAUUUAUAUAUUAUGGCACCCAAAGAGCAUAAUCGUGAUUCCAAUCUCUUGUCCGCACGAUAUCGGCAUUCAGCAUAUUUCCUGUUUGUUUUGGUACAGAGGUCUGUUGAGUCCGGGGAUGUACUUGAGCAGCCUCCGCCUGAAGCUCUUCUGUUUUGGUUUGCGCUGCAGGCUGCUGAAGCCUCCGCACUGCUGUUUUUCUCCGUUUGGCACUGCUGAUGAUGAUGCUGAUGAUGAUGAUGAUGGAGGCCUCAAGUAGCUGCGUGUGCUGGCACUGCGGGUCAGGCUGGUUUUAGCAGUGGUGAAGAGCUCGCUGGCGGGUCGAAUGAGACGUGGGCGAGUGUUCUCCUGUUUAGCAUGGAUCUGGUCAUUGCUGGUGUUGUUGAAGAUGCAGGUCUGGUAGAGCGGGUCGUCUUCAGCCGUGGCGGCGCUCAGAUGGCUGACGCUGCUGCUGGUGCUGUCGGUGCCCCGUAACGCUCGCAACGCUGCAGGACUCGGAGCUCCCAGACUCCCAUAAACACCAGCUGAUUCCAGAGACUCGUACAUCGCCACAUCACUCAUCACGAUACCUGUGAGAGGGGAAACAGAGUUAUAUAUAUGCACACACAUACACUAUACAGUUGAAGUCUGAAUUAUUAGCCCCCUUAGAAUUUCCCAAAUGAUGUUUAACAGAUUUAGCACAUUUUUACAGCGUGUCUGAUAAUAUUUUUUCUUCUGGAGAAAGUCUGAUUUGUUUAGUUUUGGCUAGAAUAAAAGCAGUUUUAAAUUUUUUAAAGAACAUUUUAAGGUCAAAAUGAUUAUCCCCUUUAAGCUAUAUUUUGUUUCAAUAGUCAACAGAACAACCCAUCGGUAUACAAUGACUUGCCUAAUGAC